Molecule: long non-coding RNA, 1889 nt
Organism: Asparagus officinalis (garden asparagus)
Lineage: Eukaryota; Viridiplantae; Streptophyta; Magnoliopsida; Asparagales; Asparagaceae
Exons: 3
Source: RefSeq, a predicted model, not a curated record
GCACACUUCAAUAUAAUGAACAAAAUAGUAUCUUUAUCUUCCCAAAUGCUCUAUUCUUAUCAUGGUAUCAUGGCUUCUCCAUUAGCCUAGAGAGAUCACUUUCUUCUUUCUCGAUCUCGAGUGGUCGAGGGGGUUUUAACGCAAACUCCACGCUUCCACUCGGCGGCCUCGACACCAGCUUCAACUCCUUUCCUUCAUUGCGAUCUUACUCACACCCAAACCGCUAGUGAAAACCUAAUCCUCGAUGACGCCUCUGCCCUCUCGGCAUACACGCCUUCGCUUCUCCCAACACCUCCGCUAGUCGUUCCCACUUCGUUGGCUAUCUCGACGACGUGUCCUCGACCGCUGAGACAACACCCGCAGUGCUCUUGAUCGCCGCUAGCCCACAAUCGCGACUUUGGCUGCCUUUACUCCACAACUAGACAUCACCGCGUCAUCGAUCUAGACACGAUCAUCAACACGCAACUCUCCUUGCCAGUGACUGCCACAAACACUAACGCCAUCAUACCAUCCGAUCAUUGCCUUGCCUUCGAUGAGCCCACCUCGACAUCGCCUACAACCCCAAUCACUUCCAACUCUUUGUAACCUGCAGCAAAGCCCCCAUAUUCCACUGCAACACCCACAACUUCAGAGCCCCCAUAGGUCCCCACAAGCACCAAACCCUCACCUUACCCCAACACACACUCACUAAGUUCUCCUUCGCCAACAAUUGAGAAAUUAAUUAAACCCAACACAUUCCAGCCACAAGCUUCACUUAAUUCCCCUCCUGCAAUCAUUGUCAUUUCUCCUUGCAUGAUGUCACGUGCACAGGGUGCCUGACAGAAUGUCUCAGGGAAUUCCGCCUCUUGGAUGUGCUCCGUCUCUCGUCCACCGCCACCGUGCGGAUCCUCUCCACACUCGGCAUCACGACUAUCUUGGUCUUUAGCUCAUUCGAUACAGUAGCAACCUAUCACAAUGCAACACAGACUAUUUGAGGUAGUGCCUGAACACAAUGCUUGGAUCUUGCACGCCUAAUCCUCGUAGCAACAACCACCAUUUGUUCGGCCUAAUGUCCAAGCUGCAACGCCCAACUGUAACGCCAGCGGCAUUCUCUCUAUUUGCAGUGCCCAUGGCAAUGACUCCGUCGGACUAUCUCCAUCUGCAGCCUCCACGGCGGACACCGCCGGACCACAUUACACCAUGAGCUCAUCGCCUCAAUCCAAGCCCUCACUGAACAGCACCACAAUCUUGCUGUCUACAAUCCAAAGCAACCGAUGUGCUCCAAUUCAAUCACCUCUCCUCGAGCCACGCCAACAACCAUCUACGUAAAUUUAGAUUAUCUUAUCCAAACUCUCAGUUCUCUACCCACGGGAAUAAGUUUGCGGCAGGGAGGCAUAUCAGGAUUUAUCAUGGGGUUUAUAGGGAGAGGGAGGUGGCGGUUAAGUUGAUCAGCUAGCCGGAGGAGGACGCGACUCUGGCUGCUUUGCUAGAGCAGCAGUUCAAUUCGGAGGUUGCCUUGUUGCUUCAGUUACGACAUCCGAGGAUCACAUGGCAUGGGAACAAUUUGAUACACCCGGUGAAAAAGCUCCAAACUCAUUAUACAGAGAAACAUGACUUGUAAGCAUUGCCGACAUACAAACAUGAGAAAAUAAGUAAAAUUUAUUAAUUUUUGUAAAUAAAUUCUUUAAAUUUGGAAAGUUUGAUUUAGCCAAUAUUUCUAUUCAAUUUAGUUACAACUUUUGAUGACUGUUGAAUUGAAUGAGAUUCUGAAUCAAACACCAAUGUACGCUUUCUGUUCACCUGGAUUGUCAGUGUGUAUUCAGUCCAAAAGCUUUUAUCUACAAAUUUAUUUGUUCUAUUUCACUCAGUAUUUCUGAAUAAUGUUUUUUCCCCCACUGAAAUGAUGGUUU